Molecule: non-coding RNA, 74 nt
Filed under: Ctenophora environmental sample
Lineage: Eukaryota; Metazoa; Ctenophora
Source: RNAcentral
ACAUCAUCAAAAGAAUAAGCAAAGAAAAGUAAAGAAGAAAAAAAUGGUCCCAAAAUUGUUGUUGUCAGCUUUCU